RNAcentral lists this long non-coding RNA (1329 nucleotides) under Homo sapiens (human). Its description in RNAcentral is "long intergenic non-protein coding RNA 320". Lineage: Eukaryota; Metazoa; Chordata; Mammalia; Primates; Hominidae. The record is from RNAcentral.
AGGUGGAGUAUUUGAUCCCUUUAGCAAGGCAGUGAUUUUGAAAUUCGGGUUUAGACAAAAAGAUAUUUCAAGCUCCUGAAGAACAAGUUUGAAGGAUUCAGAGCAGAGAAUUGCACCCUGGCAUGAUGCCUAUGCCAGCUGGACUGUGUGAUUUUUGUUCUUUAGUAGAAGGAUAACAUGACAUAGCAGGAAUAAUACUGCCUUUUCUUUCUGGCAUGGAUCAAGAGAAAAGAAAAUACAAGAAAACAGACAGAAGCAAGGCAAGGUACUUCUAUGGAAGGGUGAGCCCUCACAGAUGGAGCAAUGGGGCGCGCACACCUGAACAAGGGAGGGGAAGGAGUUCUUAUCCCUGAUGCAUGUGACCCCUGCUGCUGUGUCCUUCCCCUAUUGGCUAAGGCUUCUGACAGCUUUGGAGAUUGUGACAUUGGAAUAAAGGAAAAACGUACAGGACUCAUGAAGCGCUGAAAUGUUCACAAAUAUCAAGCAAAAGUCAAUGAAAUUUAUUUUGAGCUAUUUACAUCAUUUAAUAAUUGAGCAAGGUAUACUCCUAUGAACAAAAUUUGGAGCAUGUUUGUCUCUCUCUGCCUGGCGUCUUCAGAAUUUGGAAACUAGUUAGUCAUGGAAAUUUAUUUUGAGCUAUUUACAGCAUUUAAUAAUUGAGCAAGGUAUACUCCUAUGAACAAAAUUUGGAGCAUGUUUGUCUCUCUCUGUCUGCCUGGCAUCUACAGAAUUUGGAAACUAGUUGUGCUGUACUGCAUGAGAAUGCCUGCAUUUAGUAUGCGAACUGGAAUUGGCAAAGGACGAUGGCUGCUCUCCCGCUAACUUUAAAUAAGUCAUGUCACAAAUUGCAUGUAAGACUUAUAAAAUAUUAACGUUGGGAGACACUGAAACAAAUCAGUAUUUCUAUUAACCUGCGAAAAGAUCUUCCAAAUAUAUAACCAAAGUAACUAAAACAAAUACUAAAAAGAGUUUACUUUUAAAACUAGGUUUAUGAAAUAUUUUCCCCAAGUUUGCAUGAUUAUUAGAAAAGUGGCUUAAAGAGUAAAGAAAAACUGGAAUCUUGUUGACCCCAAGUACUCCUCUAACCCUUUUGCUCUGCUGUUACAAUGGACCAGUAAAUCUUCAAACAUAACACCUCUUAAAUUAAAAACAGAAAUGGUGUAGAUUGCACACAUUACAACAUUUUUUUAGGCUUACUUCUUUUUUUCAAUAUUAAAGCUUAUUUUUCACACAUUACUUAAUGUUGCCUGUUAAAAAGUGGUGCUUAUAUUUGUGUAGCUAUCUGUUUGAUGGUGGUUUAGUUUAGGAAAUAAAUCACACAGUGACAAU